RNAcentral lists this non-coding RNA (45 nucleotides) under Schistosoma margrebowiei. Lineage: Eukaryota; Metazoa; Platyhelminthes; Trematoda; Strigeidida; Schistosomatidae. The record is from RNAcentral.
AUCCAGAUGACGAACCCCGAAUGGGGCGAAACGCGUGUCCUGGAU